CGAGUCAGGUAUCGUAAGAUGCCGGCACACUGCUCAGUAACACGUGGAUAAUCUAACCUUGAGUAAGGGAUAACUUCGGGAAACUGAAGGUAAUACCUUAUAAUUGCUUAAAACUGGAAUGUUUUUGCAAUAAAAGUUACGACGCUCAAGGAUGAGUCUGCGACCUAUCAGGUAGUAGGUGGUGUAAUGGACCACCUAGCCUCAGACGGGUACGGGCCCUGGGAGGGGUAGCCCGGAGAUGGACUCUGAGACAUAAGUCCAGGCCCUACGGGGCGCAUCAGGCGCGAACACUGUGCAAUGC
RNAcentral lists this ribosomal RNA (301 nucleotides) under uncultured archaeon. RNAcentral describes it as "bacterial SSU rRNA". It matches the Rfam family "Archaeal small subunit ribosomal RNA", at positions 54 to 358 of the family's 1478-position model. The record is from RNAcentral.